UAGCAAACCAUUGUUAGUUAUCAGAGCC
RNAcentral lists this non-coding RNA (28 nucleotides) under Rattus norvegicus (Norway rat). The record is from RNAcentral. Lineage: Eukaryota; Metazoa; Chordata; Mammalia; Rodentia; Muridae.